UAAUACAUGCAAGUCGAACGCGCAGCGAAAGGUGCUUGCACCUUUCAAGCGAGUGGCGAACGGGUGAGUAACACGUGGAUAACCUGCCUCAAGGCUGGGGAUAACAUUUGGAAACAGAUGCUAAUACCGAAUAAAACUUAGUAUCGCAUGAUACAAAGUUGAAAGGCGCUACGGCGUCACCUAGAGAUGGGUCCGCGGUGCAUUAGUUAGUUGGUGGGGUAAAGGCCUACCAAGACAAUGAUGCAUAGCCGAGUUGAGAGACUGAUCGGCCACAUUGGGACUGAGACACGGCCCAAACUCCUACGGGAGGCUGCAGUAGGGAAUCUUCCACAAUGGGCGAAAGCCUGAUGGAGCAACGCCGCGUGUGUGAUGAAGGCUUUAGGGUCGUAAAGCACUGUUGUAUGGGAAGAAAUGCUAGAAUAGGGAAUGAUUCUAGUUCGACGGUACCAUACCAGAAAGGGACGGCUAAAUACGUGCCAGCAGCCGCGGUAAUACGUAUGUCCCGAGCGUUAUCCGGAUUUAUUGGGCGUAAAGCGAGCGCAGACGGUUGAUUAAGUCUGAUGUGAAAGCCCGGAGCUCAACUCCGGAAUGGCAUUGGAAACUGGUUAACUUGAGUGUUGUAGAGGUAAGUGGAACUCCAUGUGUAGCGGUGGAAUGCGUAGAUAUAUGGAAGAACACCAGUGGCGAAGGCGGCUUACUGGACAACAACUGACGUUGAGGCUCGAAAGUGUGGG
This 734-nucleotide ribosomal RNA is filed under the name Leuconostoc lactis. RNAcentral's name for it is "bacterial SSU rRNA". It matches the Rfam family "Bacterial small subunit ribosomal RNA", at positions 49 to 765 of the family's 1533-position model. Lineage: Bacteria; Bacillati; Bacillota; Bacilli; Lactobacillales; Lactobacillaceae. The record is from RNAcentral.